UGAGGAACAUGACCUUCGGCGGGGGAUAGCCGGCCCAACGGCCGGGUAAUACCGCGUACGACCACAUGGGGACAUCCCUGAGUGGUGAAAGCAGCAAUGCGCCGAUGGAGUGCCUCGCGGCCUAUCAGCUAGUUGGUGAGGUAACGCUCACCAAGGCGACGACGGAUAGCUGGUCUGAGAGGAUGGCCAGCCACAUUGGGACUGAGACACGGCCCAGAUCCGUA
This 224-nucleotide ribosomal RNA is filed under the name uncultured bacterium. Its description in RNAcentral is "partial 16S ribosomal RNA". It matches the Rfam family "Bacterial small subunit ribosomal RNA", at positions 118 to 341 of the family's 1533-position model. The record is from RNAcentral.